AGAGACAGCAGUAGCCGCGGUAAUGCGUAGGUGGCAAGCGUUGUCCGGAAUUAUUGGGCGUAAAGCGCGCGCAGGCGGAUCAGUCAGUCUGUCUUAAAAGUUCGGGGCUUAACCCCGUGAGGGGAUGGAAACUGCUGAUCUAGAGUAUCGGAGAGGAAAGUGGAAUUCCUAGUGUAGCGGUGAAAUGCGUAGAUAUUAGGAAGAACACCAGUGGCGAAGGCGACUUUCUGGACGAAAACUGACGCUGAGGCGCGAAAGCCAGGGGAGCGAACGGGAUUAGAUACCCCAGUAGUCCCUGUCUCUUAUACC
This 309-nucleotide ribosomal RNA is filed under the name uncultured bacterium. RNAcentral describes it as "partial 16S ribosomal RNA". It matches the Rfam family "Bacterial small subunit ribosomal RNA", at positions 504 to 808 of the family's 1533-position model. The record is from RNAcentral.